This 236-nucleotide ribosomal RNA is filed under the name Phoronopsis harmeri. RNAcentral's name for it is "partial 28S ribosomal RNA". It matches the Rfam family "Eukaryotic large subunit ribosomal RNA", at positions 684 to 894 of the family's 3401-position model. Lineage: Eukaryota; Metazoa; Phoronida; Phoronidae. The record is from RNAcentral.
GCGCGAGUCAUGGGGUUCUACGAAACCUAAAGGCGCAAUGAAAGUGAAGGCUGCUUCCGGUGGCUGAGGUGAGAUCCUGGCCCGCGGGCUUGGCGCAUCACCGGCCCGUCUCGUCCGCAUUGUCGGUGAGGCGGAGCAAGAGCGUACACGUUGGGACCCGAAAGAUGGUGAACUAUGCCUGAGUAGGACGAAGCCAGAGGAAACUCUGGUGGAAGUCCGUAGCGAUUCUGACGUGC